This 1154-nucleotide long non-coding RNA is filed under the name Populus tremula. RNAcentral describes it as "long non-coding RNA (PTRE_LNC001690)". Lineage: Eukaryota; Viridiplantae; Streptophyta; Magnoliopsida; Malpighiales; Salicaceae. The record is from RNAcentral.
AUUUAAACCUCUAAUUUGACUUUGCAGGGAAGUGUCAAGGCCAGGAUUUGAGGCAUUUGGCGUAGCAGUUUGAUUUUGCAAUCCUCUGACUUGGAGGUCAUCCUUGGAGUUGGAGCUUACUUCGUCGUUUCCUGCUAUUGCAUGUGAAGAAAUCCUCUCUUCCCCUACUCUGGGUUCUACAACCUGAACUUCUCUUUGUACCCUUCCAGUACCUCGUCCCAUAUUUUCAAUCUUAAUGUUUUGUUCUUGUGGACAAGUUGAAAUUCCAGAAUCAGUAACAUUGAUUGAACUUUCUGUGCUUUUAAGUCUUUUGUUGCCACCACACACAGCUAGAAAGGCCGCUUCUUGAACUUCUUUAGUCACCCCACGACAAAUGGCAACAUUAUGCCCUUCCUCUCUUGAUAAAUGCCAUUUGAUCCUUGAAAUGGAGGUUUUAUUGGCAAAUGUAUGUGGACAAAACUUACACUUCAUGCUACCAUCUGCCCUAUCUUCAAUAUAAUUCCAAUAUGGAUCCUUUGAUCCAACCAUAUCAACCUAUAGAAAAAAAAAGAGGGUCAAAAUAAAGAAUAAAAAUUGAUGGAAGUUACACCAUAUCCAGAUGGAAGAGAAACUACUUAAGCGCUGUUACCCUUAUUUUGCUAUUAAAAUUGAUAGUUAGUUUAUUGCACAAUCAUAGGAGGGAAAAAGACGACAAUAAUUUAGUUAGACUUCUUACUUGUUCAGUAUUUAAACCUCUAAUUUGACUUUGCAGGGAAGUGUCAAGGCCAGGAUUUGAGGCAUUUGGCGUAGCAGUUUGAUUUUGCAAUCCUCUGACUUGGAGGUCAUCCUUGGAGUUGGAGCUUACUUCGUCGUUUCCUGCUAUUGCAUGUGAAGAAAUCCUCUCUUCCCCUACUCUGGGUUCUACAACCUGAACUUCUCUUUGUACCCUUCCAGUACCUCGUCCCAUAUUUUCAAUCUUAAUGUUUUGUUCUUGUGGACAAGUUGAAAUUCCAGAAUCAGUAACAUUGAUUGAACUUUCUGUGCUUUUAAGUCUUUUGUUGCCACCACACAUAGCUAGAAAGGCCGCUUCUUGAAUUUCUUUAGUCACCCCACGACAAAUGGCAACAUUAUGCCCUUCCUCUCUUGAUAAAUGCCAUUUGAUCCUUGAAAUGGAG